GGCGACCUCAAAAUCCUCCGUUAAAACUUGUUAUUGUUUUCCCAAUCCUUUACUGGGGAAGUGAUAACUGCGCGAGGAUUGUUUCAACUCUGGCUACAAAGAUUCAGUUGUAUGAACUAGACUAGAUGGAUCCCGAGGUUGGAUUGAGACUUCUUUUUUCUCCACUGGCUUCUAAUAUUGUUGUGCGGACAGCAUGCUGUUCUGUGGGGGUUGUUUUACCUGUUUAUUCCACAUUUAAGGCAAUUGAGGGAAGAGAUGAAAACGAGCAGAGAAAGUGGCUACUGUAUUGGGCAGCUUAUGGGUCUUUCAGUGUUGUUGAGUUAUUCACCGAUAAAUUUCUCUAUUGGUUUCCACUUUAUUACCACAUGAAGUUUGCAUUUCUUGUUUGG
Molecule: unclassified non-coding RNA, 389 nt
Filed under: Hevea brasiliensis (rubber tree)
Lineage: Eukaryota; Viridiplantae; Streptophyta; Magnoliopsida; Malpighiales; Euphorbiaceae
Source: RNAcentral